Molecule: transfer RNA, 51 nt
Filed under: Pittosporum undulatum
Lineage: Eukaryota; Viridiplantae; Streptophyta; Magnoliopsida; Apiales; Pittosporaceae
Also listed under: 1 other name
Description: partial transfer RNA-Val
Source: RNAcentral
AGGGCUAUAGCUCAGUUCGGUAGAGCACCUCGUUUACACCGAGAAGGUCUA